Long non-coding RNA from Pipistrellus kuhlii (Kuhl's pipistrelle), 455 nucleotides. RefSeq lists it as uncharacterized. The transcript is spliced from 2 exons. The record is from RefSeq and is a predicted model, not a curated record. NCBI's taxonomy places the organism in Eukaryota, Metazoa, Chordata, Mammalia, Chiroptera, Vespertilionidae.
AAAUAAAGCUCAGAGAGGAAAAUUAUUUAUUAAGAACUUUUUUUUCCAUAGAAAACAAUAAAACAUGUUGAAGAAAAAUAUAUAAUAUAAAGAAUAAAAAAAGAAAAAUGAUGCUUCCUGUAGUCUUAUUUCACUGUAGGUUAUUUUAUGCUUCACCUAAGGUGAUUUAAGAUAAAAUUUUAGGAACUAUAAUUUUAUUAUUCACAGAUAAAGACCUUUGAGUUUGUUCUCUGAUAAUGUGAAUAAGAACAAACCCUAUAACAAAUAUGGCACAAAAUCCAGGACUGCCCCUCUAGCUUACCUUCAAACACCAACAACUACAAACAAAACCUGAAAGCAAAAUCUGUAACCUUCAGAUAAGUUUAAAUCAGUGUUAUCUAGGCUUUCAUCAUUUGGCUCCUUAUAUAAUCUAAUAAGUACAUUCCUCCAAGUUUAUAUUGUUCAAAUUAAGGCAA